RNAcentral lists this ribosomal RNA (253 nucleotides) under uncultured bacterium. RNAcentral's name for it is "partial 16S ribosomal RNA". It matches the Rfam family "Bacterial small subunit ribosomal RNA", at positions 524 to 776 of the family's 1533-position model. The record is from RNAcentral.
UACGGAGGGAGCAAGCGUUACUCGGAAUUAUUGGGCGUAAAGGGCGCGUAGGCGAUUUGAAAAGUCUUGUGUGAAAGCCCCGAGCUUAACUCGGGAAGUGCACAAGAAACUGUUGAAUUUGAGUUCCGGAGAGGAAGGCAGAAUUCCCGGUGUAGCGGUGAAAUGCGUAGAUAUCGGGAGGAAUACCAGUGGCGAAGGCGGCUAACUGGUCCAGCACUGACGCUGAGGUGCGAAAGCGUGGGGAGCAAACAGG